ACAAUUUAUUGGAAAAGAAAACAUGUUUUAAUUGUGAUAUAUACAGAUAUGUUUUUACAACAACAAGGAAUUAAAAUUAAAAAAUGCUCAUAUAAAAUUAAAAAUCAUUUUUUUUUACAAUAUUUACAAACAUGUUGGUAUUUGAUUUAGCUUUGAUCAUUCACUUAGUGCUAGUCAGCUUUUGCAUAUUGCAUGCAAUAUUACAAACACGUAUCGGACAAAUUUAACAAAUGCUACUUUUACAUUUUAAUACCAAAACAGGGUUUUCAAUCAUAUGUGUCCAUAACUGGAUAUUUGUGUUAAAUAUUAGUCCUUGAAGUUCAGAUGGCUCAGUAGCACAUUCCUUUGAAAUGUAUUGCAUACCAAUAUGGCAUUCAGAUUACUAAAGAAAACCUUUGCGGGCUGGAUUAUAUCUGUAUUAAAUGUUGAUUUCAAACAUUUUAUAGUCUGCUGGAGAAUUUAGAGAAAUAAGUGCUAAAUAUUUUACAAGCAAUGCCUGAAGGUCCCUUUAUCCAGAAUUCCAGUUAUGCCAAUCCGACUUGCCAAAAGGAUAUUACGUUUCCAAAAUUUUCCUAAUAUUCUAUUUUUUUUUUUCCAGAAAAGGGAAGAUAAUAUUCUAACAUUUAAACCAAAUUAAAAAAAUACAGAAAGCAAUACAGGGUCAUCUUGGCAAAUUAUCAUUUUGGAUUACAAAUGGAAAGAUUAUAUAUGCAGGAAAAAGUGCAUUUAAUACAACACAAAUGUUUGAGAAAUAUAAAAAAGUUAAUAUUCAUCAAUUGUUCCAACCCAUUGAUCGCAACACAAAAAUCUGUAUUUAUAAACCAAACAAAAGUAUGCAUAUUCAAUUUUAAAAAAGGUUUUAUUUAUAAAUCAUCUCUAUGGAGGAUAUUUGAGCAAAGUGGGAUAAUCAUGGUGGAACUAAAUGUGUGGCACUUAAAACUCACAAGUUGUUGUUUUGUUUUUGUUUGUUUUUUAAAUUUGAGGUCAAGGUAACCUAACUGCAAAAAUUCUACAAGUUGACUAUAAUUUCAGUUCAGCUACUUUGGCCUUAAAUGUGAAAUUCACUUUGAAUUAUUUAUAAAUUCUCAGUUUAAUGACUAACCAUGCCAUAUUGUCUAAACAUUCCCCUUUUGCCUGUAUACAAAUCAUCUCCAAAUAGGACCUAUGUUUGGUGGCUCAGGACUCAGAAAAACACUGAUAUAUGAGGGAAAAAAGUAUUUGAUCCCCUGCUGAUUUUGAACGUUUGCCCACUGACAAAGAAAUGAUCAGUCUAUAAUUUUAAUGUUAGGUGUAUUUUAACAGUGAGAGAUAGAAUAAUAAAAAAAAAAAUCCAGAAAAAUGCAUGUCAAAAAAAAGUUAUAAAUUGAUUUGCAUGUCAAUGAGCAAAGUAAGUAUUUGAUCCCCUAUCAAUCAGCAAGAUUUCUGGCUCCCAAGUGUCUUUUAUACAGGUAACGAGCUGAGUUUAGGAGCACUCUCUUAAAGGGAGUGCUCCUAAUCUCCGCUCGUUACCUGUAUAAAAGACACCUGUCCUCAGAAGCAGUUAAUCAGAUUUCAAACUCUCCACCAUGGCUAAGACCAAAGAGCUGUCCAAGGAUGUCAGGGACGAGAUUAUAGACCUACACAAAGCUGGAAUGGGCUACAAGACCAUCGCCAAGCAGUUUGGUGAGAAGGUGACAACAGUUGGUGCGAUUAUUCUCAAAUGGAAGAAACAGAAAAUAACUGUCAGUCUCCCUCGGUCUGGUGCUUCAUGCAAGAUCUCACCUCUUGGAGUUUCAAUGAUCAGAAGAACAGUGAAGAAUCAGCCCAGAACUACACGGGAUGAUCUUGUUAAUGAUCUCAAGGCAGCUGGGACCAUAGUCACCAAGAAAACAAUUGGUAGCACACUACGCUGUGAAUGACUGAAAUCCUGCAGUGCCUGCAAGAUCCCCCUGCUCAAGAAAGCACAUGUACUGGCCUGUCUGAAGAUUGCCAAUGAACAUCUGAAUGAUUCAGAGGAGAACUGAGUGAAAGUGUUGUGGUCAGAUGAGACCAAAAUCCAGCUCUUUGGCAUCAACUCAACUCGCCGUGUUUGGAGGACGAGGAAUGCUGCCUAUGACACAGGAACACUUUCCCCACCGUCAAACAUGGAGGUAGAAACAUUAUGCUUUGGGGGUGUUUUUAUGCUAAAGGGACAGGACAACUGCGCCACAUCAAAGGGAGGAUGGACGGGGCCAUGCACUGUCAAAUCGUGGGUGAGAAACUCCUUCCCUCAGCCAGGGCAUUGAAAAUGGGUUAUGGAUGGGUAUUCCAGCAUGACAAUGACCCAAAACACACAGCCAAGGCAACUAAGGAGUGGUUCAAGAAGAAGCACAUUAAGGUCCUUGAAUGGCCUAGCCAGUCUCCAGACCUUAAUCCCAUUUCAAAUUUGUGGAGGGAGCUGAAGGUUCGAGUUGCCAAACGUCAGCCUCGAAACCUUAAUGACUUGGAGAGGAUCUGCAAAGAGGAGUGGGACAAAAUCUCUCCUGAGAUGUGUGCAAACCUGGUGGCCAACUACAAGAAAUGUCUGACCUCUGUGAUUGCCAACAAGGGUUUUGCCACCAAGUACUAAGUCGAAGGGGUCAAAUACUUAUUUCACUUAUUGACAUGCAAAUCAAUUUACAAUUUUUUUGACAUGCGUUUUUCUGGAUUUUUU
Molecule: non-coding RNA, 2671 nt
Organism: Pelobates cultripes (western spadefoot toad)
Lineage: Eukaryota; Metazoa; Chordata; Amphibia; Anura; Pelobatidae
Source: the annotation of a GenBank genome assembly